RNAcentral lists this ribosomal RNA (1437 nucleotides) under uncultured organism. Its description in RNAcentral is "SSU rRNA". It matches the Rfam family "Bacterial small subunit ribosomal RNA". The record is from RNAcentral.
CUAGCUACAGGCUUGACACAUGCAAGUCGAGGGGCAGCAUGGUCUUAGCUUGCUAAGGCCGAUGGCGACCGGCGCACGGGUGAGUAACACGUAUCCAACCUGCCGUCUACUCUUGGACAGCCUUCUGAAAGGAAGAUUAAUACAAGAUGUUAUCAUGAGUAAGCAUUUUCGCAUGAUUAAAGGUUUACCGGUGUAAGAUGGGGAUGCGUUCCAUUAGAUAGUAGGCGGGGUAACGGCCCACCUAGUCUUCGAUGGAUAGGGGUUCUGAGAGGAAGGUCCCCCACAUUGGAACUGAGACACGGUCCAAACUCCUACGGGAGGCAGCAGUGAGGAAUAUUGGUCAAUGGACGAGAGUCUGAACCAGCCAAGUAGCGUGAAGGAUGAAGGUUCUAUGGAUUGUAAACUUCUUUUAUACGGGAAUAAACGGAUCCACGUGUGGAUUUUUGCAUGUACCGUAUGAAUAAGGAUCGGCUAACUCCGUGCCAGCAGCCGCGGUAAUACGGAGGAUCCGAGCGUUAUCCGGAUUUAUUGGGUUUAAAGGGAGCGUAGAUGGGUUGUUAAGUCAGUUGUGAAAGUUUGCGGCUCAACCGUAAAAUUGCAAUUGAUACUGGCAGUCUUGAGUACAGUUGAGGUAGGCGGAAUUCGUGGUGUAGCGGUGAAAUGCUUAGAUAUCACGAAGAACUCCGAUUGCGAAGGCAGCUUACUAACCUGUAACUGACAUUGAUGCUCGAAAGUGUGGGUAUCAAACAGGAUUAGAUACCCUGGUAGUCCACACGGUAAACGAUGAAUACUCGCUGUAGGCGAUAUACAGUCUGCGGCCAAGCGAAAGCAUUAAGUAUUCCACCUGGGGAGUACGCCGGCAACGGUGAAACUCAAAGGAAUUGACGGGGGCCCGCACAAGCGGAGGAACAUGUGGUUUAAUUCGAUGAUACGCGAGGAACCUUACCCGGGCUUAAAUUGCAACCGAAUAUGGCGGAGACGCUAUAGCUAGCAAUAGCGGUUGUGAAGGUGCUGCAUGGUUGUCGUCAGCUCGUGCCGUGAGGUGUCGGCUUAAGUGCCAUAACGAGCGCAACCCUUGCCGAUAGUUACUAACAGGUCAUGCUGAGGACUCUGUCGGGACUGCCAUCGUAAGAUGUGAGGAAGGUGGGGAUGACGUCAAAUCAGCACGGCCCUUACGUCCGGGGCUACACACGUGUUACAAUGGGGGGUACAGAGGGCUGCUACCACGCAAGUGGAUGCCAAUCCCAAAAACCUCUCUCAGUUCGGAUUGAAGUCUGCAACCCGACUUCAUGAAGCUGGAUUCGCUAGUAAUCGCGCAUCAGCCACGGCGCGGUGAAUACGUUCCCGGGCCUUGUACACACCGCCCGUCAAGCCAUGGGAGCCGGGGGUACCUGAAGUGCGUAACCGCAAGGAGCGCCCUAGGGUAAAACUGGUGAA